UUUAUGGAGAGUUUGAUCCUGGCUCAGGAUGAACGCUGGCGGCGUGCCUAAUACAUGCAAGUCGAGCGAACGGACGAGAAGCUUGCUUCUCUGAUGUUAGCGGCGGACGGGUGAGUAACACGUGGAUAACCUACCUAUAAGACUGGGAUAACUUCGGGAAACCGGAGCUAAUACCGGAUAAUAUUUUGAACCGCAUGGUUCAAAAGUGAAAGACGGUCUUGCUGUCACUUAUAGAUGGAUCCGCGCUGCAUUAGCUAGUUGGUAAGGUAACGGCUUACCAAGGCAACGAUGCAUAGCCGACCUGAGAGGGUGAUCGGCCACACUGGAACUGAGACACGGUCCAGACUCCUACGGGAGGCAGCAGUAGGGAAUCUUCCGCAAUGGGCGAAAGCCUGACGGAGCAACGCCGCGUGAGUGAUGAAGGUCUUCGGAU
This 433-nucleotide ribosomal RNA is filed under the name Staphylococcus aureus. Its description in RNAcentral is "bacterial SSU rRNA". It matches the Rfam family "Bacterial small subunit ribosomal RNA", at positions 1 to 423 of the family's 1533-position model. The record is from RNAcentral. Lineage: Bacteria; Bacillati; Bacillota; Bacilli; Caryophanales; Staphylococcaceae.